GACCAGAGGCUGCCUGCCUCUGGGGCUUGGGGACAGGCAAGAUGGCUUUUAACCCUAUGUGAGCCUCCACAUGUGAGCUGCAUUGACAGCCAGCCUUGGAUGUCCCUGGUGGGUUUUCUGUGCACCUGGGAAUUGAACCCACGGCUUUCAGAACACUUGACAAGCACUGUAGGGACUGAACUACAUCCCCACACCAGCUUUUUAACUUUUUGAGGGCCAUUCAUUCAUUCAUUCAUUCACCAGUCAGUGAUGCCUUCUGCCCAGUGCCAACUCAACGUAAAGAUCUGGGGAUAUAGAGAUGGCUGUGCUGGGGUCCCCAACCUCAUUAAGCACAAUGACCCCAAGUGCUAACAUCAUGGAGCACCCACCACACACUGGAUAAUAACAGCAAGCACAUGGAUGUGAUCUCCACCUCAUACCAAGAACGCCAGGAUCGUGGUGGUGCAGCUGGGAACUGCCCCUUGGACAGCUGCCAGGGAAAUGUGAUCGCUGAGCUGGAGUGACCUGCCCCUGCCCAGCCCCCUAUUGGGUUUCAGUCAAGGCAAGUGUCCUUGGGCAGUUCCUGUGGUCUAAAGGUCCAGCCUGGCCUCUCACUAAGCAUCAUGGACUCGGUGGGGUGUGCACAGGAAGCAGCAAGGGCCCCAAAGAAUCAUCUGUUUUCUCUUUCAGUUUCUUCCAAGAAAUUCGGACGGACCAACUCCCCUCCAAGUAUUUGACAAUAUUUCCCAAGAACAUCACCAGCAGAUAUUUCUAGUUCUGAGAAUCAGACCUAAGGUGUCAUGAAUGCUGGCCCCUCAGGGACCUGUGACCUCCCCGAACAUCACCGAGGGUCCCACAGUUGGUGGGACACCCAGACCCACUCUGGCUACUGACAAAAAGGAUGGAGGCGCCACAGGAAAGCUGCACUGGGAAGGUGAGAAGCCAGGGGAGGGGCCCCAAGUGACACAGCACAGCUCUUCUACAGGGACACCCCAAUUCUUUCUCCGAGCCUUGGAAGCCAAGACCAAAGUCAACUACAGCCAUUGACUCUCUUGUGGCUUCUGCUUCCCAGUGGCUUUCAGCUCCUUGUUCUUGCCCACCACUGUCUCCCUCAGCAUCCCCAGCACAUCGGUGUAGAAGGAAGUGGAAUCCUGAUGGCUUGGGAAGUCACUGUCCGAAACAGAAGAUCCCCGGAGCAGUUUAAUGGUCCUUCCUGCCUGCCUACUCAGCUUGUAAAUAGAUACCUGUCUCAGGCCAAAGCCUGGCUUGGGCUUGGUGGCUAGGGUGUGGCUCCCAAGACCAGCAGCAGAGGUCAGGCCUGUGGGCGUGGCAGAUGCAGCUCACCCACAGGGAGCAGCGCCCACUGUCCAUCCAGAAUGAGAACUGUUUUUAUAGAGGGAGGAUAGCCUAAUGCAAUUAACUCGGUCAGUUAAUGGGCUGCUGCACGAGGGACACCUGCAGGUCCUGUGUUCCCCCGGGCCUCUCAGCUGCACCACACACCCUCCUCACUGUACUGUGCACUCAGACACGUGGAUGCUGGUGUUUUGGGGCCCAUCCUCAUGGUUCAGCCUGCUCUCAACAUGUCCUGUAGAGGGUGGUCACCAAAACCCUGGAGGGUUCGGCAAGCUCAGAGCCAGUGUGUCUGUGUGUGUCUGGGGGGGGAGGGGGGAAGGGGGACAGGGCUGCUUACCUGCAAUGGG
Cricetulus griseus (Chinese hamster) is the source of this 1679-nucleotide non-coding RNA. The record is from RefSeq and is a predicted model, not a curated record. Lineage: Eukaryota; Metazoa; Chordata; Mammalia; Rodentia; Cricetidae.